RNAcentral lists this ribosomal RNA (661 nucleotides) under Acinetobacter sp. Dr4. Its description in RNAcentral is "bacterial SSU rRNA". It matches the Rfam family "Bacterial small subunit ribosomal RNA", at positions 59 to 714 of the family's 1533-position model. The record is from RNAcentral. RNAcentral also lists the same sequence under 1 other name. Lineage: Bacteria; Pseudomonadati; Pseudomonadota; Gammaproteobacteria; Moraxellales; Moraxellaceae.
CAGUCGAGCGGAGUGAUGGUGCUUGCACUAUCACUUAGCGGCGGACGGGUGAGUAAUGCUUAAGAAUCUGCCUAUUAGUGGCAGACAACAUUUCGAAAGGAAUGCUAAUACCGCAUACGUCCUACGGGAGAAAGCAGGGGAUCUUCGGACCUUGCGCUAAUAGAUGAGCCUAAGUCGGAUUAGCUAGUUGGUGGGGUAAAGGCCUACCAAGGCGACGAUCUGUAGCGGGUCUGAGAGGAUGAUCCGCCACACUGGGACUGAGACACGGCCCAGACUCCUACGGGAGGCAGCAGUGGGGAAUAUUGGACAAUGGGCGCAAGCCUGAUCCAGCCAUGCCGCGUGUGUGAAGAAGGCCUUAUGGUUGUAAAGCACUUUAAGCGAGGAGGAGGCUACUGAAGUUAAUACCUUCAGAUAGUGGACGUUACUCGCAGAAUAAGCACCGGCUAACUCUGUGCCAGCAGCCGCGGUAAUACAGAGGGUGCAAGCGUUAAUCGGAUUUACUGGGCGUAAAGCGCGCGUAGGCGGCUAAUUAAGUCAAAUGUGAAAUCCCCGAGCUUAACUUGGGAAUUGCAUUCGAUACUGGUUAGCUAGAGUGUGGGAGAGGAUGGUAGAAUUCCAGGUGUAGCGGUGAAAUGCGUAGAGAUCUGGAGGAAUACCGAUG